GUCCCCUUCGUCUAGUGGCCUAGGACACCGCCCUUUCACGGCGGUAACAGGGGUUCGAGUCCCCUAG
This 67-nucleotide transfer RNA is filed under the name Pseudomonas simiae. RNAcentral's name for it is "tRNA_Glu_TTC". It matches the Rfam family "tRNA". From Rfam's summary of the family: Transfer RNA (tRNA) molecules are approximately 80 nucleotides in length. RNAcentral also lists the same sequence under 1 other name. The record is from RNAcentral. Lineage: Bacteria; Pseudomonadati; Pseudomonadota; Gammaproteobacteria; Pseudomonadales; Pseudomonadaceae.